Molecule: transfer RNA, 62 nt
Filed under: Gonepteryx rhamni (common brimstone butterfly)
Lineage: Eukaryota; Metazoa; Arthropoda; Insecta; Lepidoptera; Pieridae
Description: tRNA-Ser
Source: RNAcentral
AGAAAUAUAUUUUAUUAAGCUGCUAACUUAAUUAUUAGUGAAUAAUAUCAUUAAUAUUUCUU